UUUUAUUGUUUUAAUUUGUUCGUAAGGAAGAUACACACGCACAAAUAUUUCUGGUCACAACAUUGGUUAGACAACUUAAGUAAUGUGUGGAUAACUAGUAUUGUCUAACCAAUAUAUAUCAAACUAUAAAGUAUUGAUUUAAGACAACUUAAGUAAUGCGUGGAUAAUUAGUUUGAUGUUUUAAUAUAAGACAGAUCUUUUAAGCUUCAAACCAGUGCCGAUUUUAGCAUGUUGAUGUUCAUAUGAACAGAUAAAAAAAUAUAAUAAGUUUAAAUUAUAUUUGUUCCUUUUUGUGUGGGAUUCAUAUAUAGUAGAAUGAGUUUGCUUGGGAGUUUGGUGUGUGCAGCAAGGAGUUAACAAUUUUCUUCUUGAAAUCUAAUUCUUAAAUAGUACCAUGAUAGUUAGUAGUGAAAAGUUAGCUUGUUAUACUAUCUAAUACACCUCCAGUGCAAAAUUCUCAAGGAUUUAGGUCUUUAAAUUGAUUCUGGUAACAGGGACAAAAAGAUUGACCUGCCUUUUGUUAUUAAUUACUCUUACUUUCAGAAAUAUAUCACACCUUGCAAAGAUCAUUGGUGACUUCAGCUCUUGUAUAUGACAGUUCUAACCCCAGCCACUGCAUUUGCUGGAGAGUAUUUCAUAGCAGCUUCCUUCUAUGCAAAGAGUAAAAUAUGGAUUUUAAUGGCACGAUGCUACACGAAUUUUCCAUGGUAAGUGAGGGGAUUCAGGGAAGAACCUUCUCUUUCAUUUUGGUGGUAGAGCCACAUUUCUGAUGUGGUUACUGAUCACUUAGUGUGAUCUUCACCUUAUGAUUCCCUACGAGGUCUUGAUGUAUUUAGAAAGUUCAGUCGGAUGUGUACAAAUAAUAUUUUAUCCUCUUUCAGGCUUUUUUUAACAAAUGAGUUUCAGACCUGGUGUAUACAUAUUGGAUUAUGAAUUUCUAAAAAAUAAACACGGUUUGAGUUA
This is a long non-coding RNA of Panicum virgatum (switchgrass), 963 nucleotides long. RefSeq lists it as uncharacterized. Lineage: Eukaryota; Viridiplantae; Streptophyta; Magnoliopsida; Poales; Poaceae. The transcript has 2 exons. The record is from RefSeq and is a predicted model, not a curated record.